This is an RNA transcript of Sabethes cyaneus, 1339 nucleotides long. RefSeq lists it as uncharacterized. Lineage: Eukaryota; Metazoa; Arthropoda; Insecta; Diptera; Culicidae. The record is from RefSeq and is a predicted model, not a curated record. The transcript is spliced from 2 exons.
UCAAUUGGCGAUGAUGAGUAUGACUGGGCUGGAAAUACUCCUGCUUCUCAUGAAGUAUUGCAAGACUCCACAAUGGCCUCAAGGUUCGAAUAAGUAUUAAAUGUAAACACAAAGAUAAGCUACUGCAGCAGGAAAUCUCAAUUUUUGCAAUAGGUUGUAAACAAUAGAGUACAGAGUGAUUAAUCUUCAUUGAUUGGAUUAAAAGACACAAAGAAAGUUCCAAUAUGAAUCGGACCAUUCAAUUUUGUCGGCUUUUAUUUGUUUAGUUUAAAUAGUUUACUUGUAAACUAGUGAAUAGAUACCUACCGCACAAAUGCGAUCGUCAGCAAGCACUCUUCGGAAAUAGCUCGCAGGAGGCCUAAUCACAUCACAUCACUUCACCGCUUCCCUUCCCUUGUUUCACACUAAUCACACACGAGCAACACGAUCCCGAAGCCACCGAAGCAGCACAUCUCUAUAAACCACACACGAAUGAAGCUCACUUUCACAAAGACAUACCGCGAGAAUUUGGUAAGCUAAGCACAAUAUCUAGGUAUUUUUCCAUAUUUUUUAUUUUUUUUUGCAAACUGCACUCUUUCUCCGCUUUUUUAUUUGUAAACACAACCCGUCCGACGAGACGUGACUACCAGCACCGACUGACACCUGAUCGUUCUAGCGGAAAACCGCAGGCAAAUGCAGCGGAGCCGGUUUGGAAUAUUCCUCCUAACCACUGUCGUUGAAUCGAUCGGAUUCCUCUCGAAGACGACGCAGCGAAUUUGCGGUAUCAGUCUCUCACAUCUCAUCCCAGCCUUAACCUACGAUCCAUCAACACCUUACGAGUUACGACACCGGCAAGCAGAACAACCGCCCGGCUGCACAAGCCAUUGAUUACUGUAGUAUUGGCCAGCAAAGCGAAGCAAACCCGAAAAAUUAUAGAGUUCUUUAGUCUUUUCUUCUGCUUCGGUCGCAUCUUCGUGAGGUCGUCUCGAUCGUACGGUGUCGCUGGCUGGCUGGCGAUACGGUGCGAUGACUGUACCCGUCCCGCCAGUAUCCUCCGCACGGGGACGGUCCGGAACGAAUGAAAAUCCGAAGCGAUCGCGUAAAAAUUCUUAGCCGUUCGACUUUGCGGAAAACACCCUUCGAUUUUGAGGAUUUUGACCACCUUUUGAAGCUAUUCAACAUGUUGUCAAUAUGCACAUAAAAGUAUUUCUAUAGUCAGUCAAAUUAACUUUCAAGUAUGUAUGUACUAAAUUCAUUCAACAAAUUUAGUUCCGCGGCCAGUAUGCUAUUAUUGUAAUUGUAUGAAAAAAUAUUACGUCAGAAUGGUUAUUCAUACAUAAUAUAUCAAUCAGAAAUAAAA